This 497-nucleotide ribosomal RNA is filed under the name uncultured bacterium. RNAcentral's name for it is "partial 16S ribosomal RNA". It matches the Rfam family "Bacterial small subunit ribosomal RNA", at positions 28 to 507 of the family's 1533-position model. The record is from RNAcentral.
GAUGAACGCUGGCGGCGUGCCUAACACAUGCAAGUCGAGCGAACAGAUAAGGAGCUUGCUCCUUUGACGUUAGCGGCGGACGGGUGAGUAACACGUGGGUAACCUACCUCUAUGACUGGAAUAACUACGGGAAACCGGUGCUAAUGCCGGAUAACAUUUAGAACCGCAUGGUUCUAAAGUGAAAGAUGGUUUUGCUGUCACUUAUAGAUGGACCCGCGCCGGAUUAGCUAGUUGGUAAGGUAACGGCUUACCAAGGCAACGAUACGUAGCCGACCUGAGAGGGUGAUCGGCCACACUGGAACUGAGACACGGUCCAGACUCCUACGGGAGGCAGCAGUAGGGAAUAUUCCGCAAUGGGCGAAAGCCUGACGGAGCAACGCCGCGUGAGUGAUGAAGGUCUUCGGAUCGUAAAACUCUGUUAUUAGGGAAGAACAAAUGUGUAAGUAACUGUGCACGUCUUGACGGUACCUAAUCAGAAAGCCACGGCUAACUGCGUG